UCAAGGUGUCCGCAACCUGUGACACAACAACUCCUUCGGCCCUAUAAAUGGCGGGAGGUUUAUGUCUUCACUCCAUCCUGCCAUCUCCUGAGAGACCAUCCAGGCAUCCGACUCUCCAUCGUGUCAUCUUCUGAGAAUCUGCCUCAUCUUUCAGCCAUGAAGGUCUUGGGCUUCCUUUUCGCUGUUCUCUUCAUGGUGGCGAUGGCUACUCCCGUUCUAGCACUUCGGCCACCAAGGACUGCUGCAGAAUGUGACAGAGCGGGUGGCAAAUGCAGGUUUCUACGUUGCCCAAGACGUCUGAUCGCCAUUGGGAAGUGCGAUAGAAGAGGCGGAGUUUGCUGUAAGAAACG
Molecule: non-coding RNA, 350 nt
Organism: Pogona vitticeps (central bearded dragon)
Lineage: Eukaryota; Metazoa; Chordata; Lepidosauria; Squamata; Agamidae
Source: RefSeq, a predicted model, not a curated record